This 417-nucleotide ribosomal RNA is filed under the name uncultured Bacteroidota bacterium. RNAcentral's name for it is "bacterial SSU rRNA". It matches the Rfam family "Bacterial small subunit ribosomal RNA", at positions 505 to 917 of the family's 1533-position model. Lineage: Bacteria; Pseudomonadati; Bacteroidota. The record is from RNAcentral.
GUGCCAGCAGCCGCGGUAAUACGGAGGGUGUAAGCGUUAUUCGGAAUUACUGGGCGUAAAGCGCAUGUAGGUGGAAUAGUAAGUCAAAUGUGAGAACUUUGGGCUCAACUCAAGGAUUGCAUCUGAAACUGCUUAACUAGAGUUCGAGAGAGGAGGGUGGAAUUCCCAGUGUAGAAGUGAAAUUCGUAGAUAUUGGGAGGAACACCGGGGGCGAAGGCGGCCCUCUGGCUCGAUACUGACGCUGAGAUGCGAAAGUGUGGGGAGCAAACACUGAUUAGAUACCCUGGUAGUCCACACCGUAAACGAUGGAUACUUGGUGUUGCGAGUAUAUUAAUAUUUGCAGUGCCGAAGCUAACGCAUUAAGUAUCCCGCCUGGGGAGUACGGUCGCAAGAUUAAAACUCAAAUGAAUUGACGGG